Rosa chinensis is the source of this 282-nucleotide long non-coding RNA. RefSeq lists it as uncharacterized. The record is from RefSeq and is a predicted model, not a curated record. Lineage: Eukaryota; Viridiplantae; Streptophyta; Magnoliopsida; Rosales; Rosaceae. The transcript is spliced from 2 exons.
GCUUGAUGAGCUGUUCAUUUUCUUUCGAUGUUUUUUGAUCCUUCAUCUUGAUUUACAGACACUCAGCAUCAAUUCAGUGCAAACAAAAGUGAUUGUGGCAUCAUUCAUUAAUUUCAGGGGAUUAGGGAAAAUAGAUAAAGCUUUUAUUCCACUGCUGGAAGAAGUCUGUUUGUGGCAUCCUUCGUUGAUUAGCUGCCAAAGGAAAAGAAGUCGCAUGUUUAGUGAAUGGGCAUUCACAGCUUUAUUAGGUCUGGAUCAACUUCGCUCUGGACUUCUUCAGCA